GACGAACGCUGGCGGCGUGCUUAACACAUGCAAGGCGCACGGGACCCGCAAGGGUUCAGUGGCAAACGGGUGCGUAACACGUGAGGAACCCGUCCAACGGUGGGGGAUAGCCGGCCCAACGGCCGGGUAAUACCGCGUACGACCUUCGGGGGGCAUCCCCCGGGGGUGAAAGCAGCAAUGCGCCGAUGGAGGGCCUCGCGGCCUAUCAGCUAGUUGGUGAGGUCAUGGCUCACCAAGGCAACGACGGGUAGCUGGUCCGAGAGGAUGACCAGCCACAUUGGGACUGAGACACGGCCCAGACUCCUACGGGAGGCAGCAGUGGGGAAUCUUGCGCAAUGGGCGAAAGCCUGACGCAGCGACGCCGCGUGUGGGAUGAAGGUCUUCGGAUUGUAAACCACUGUCGGGAGGGACGAAGCUCUGACGGUACCUCCAAAGGAAGCACCGGCUAACUCUGUGCCAGCCGCCGCCGUAA
This 472-nucleotide ribosomal RNA is filed under the name uncultured bacterium. Its description in RNAcentral is "partial 16S ribosomal RNA". It matches the Rfam family "Bacterial small subunit ribosomal RNA", at positions 28 to 523 of the family's 1533-position model. The record is from RNAcentral.